RNAcentral lists this long non-coding RNA (353 nucleotides) under Manacus vitellinus (golden-collared manakin). RNAcentral describes it as "lncRNA (ENSMVIG00005012203.1)". The record is from RNAcentral. Lineage: Eukaryota; Metazoa; Chordata; Aves; Passeriformes; Pipridae.
AGUUACAGGGUGCCUUUAUGAACUUCUCCUCUCUGACAGUAUAUACAGGCAGAUCCACAGAGCUAAAACACACUCCAUGGAGAGGCAGUGUAACAGGGAAUGGCCCUCUCAUUUCAGCAUUACUGACUGCGAAGCUCUUCAACUGACUGCGCAAUGCUGAUGGCAGAGCCAGGGUGAAGAUGGACCAUGCUGGAAUUUCCUUCUUGCAGUCUGAUGUACCUCAGAAAAUGACACUGAACAGCUCAGAAUAUCUCUGAGGUGACGGUAUGGUCACCCAUCUGUAUCUCGCCUGGGAGCAUUUUGCAGACCUUUUGAGGCUUAGUUGCUCAAAACAUCUUAAAAUUAUGUUUCAC